This 17-nucleotide ribosomal RNA is filed under the name Trichophyton benhamiae. RNAcentral describes it as "partial 18S ribosomal RNA". Lineage: Eukaryota; Fungi; Ascomycota; Eurotiomycetes; Onygenales; Arthrodermataceae. RNAcentral also lists the same sequence under 10 other names. The record is from RNAcentral.
UGCGGAAGGAUCAUUAA